This 370-nucleotide ribosomal RNA is filed under the name uncultured bacterium. Its description in RNAcentral is "bacterial SSU rRNA". It matches the Rfam family "Bacterial small subunit ribosomal RNA", at positions 29 to 424 of the family's 1533-position model. The record is from RNAcentral.
AGCGAACGCUGGCGGCAGGCUUAACACAUGCAAGUCGAGCGGGCGUAGCAAUACGUCAGCGGCAGACGGGUGAGUAACGCGUGGGAACGUACCUUUUGGUUCGGAACAACACAGGGAAACUUGUGCUAAUACCGGAUAAGCCCUUACGGGGAAAGAUUUAUCGCCGAAAGAUCGGCCCGCGUCUGAUUAGCUAGUUGGUGAGGUAACGGCUCACCAAGGCGACGAUCAGUAGCUGGUCNGAGAGGAUGAUCAGCCACAUUGGGACUGAGACACGGCCCAAACUCCUACGGGAGGCAGCAGUGGGGAAUAUUGGACAAUGGGCGCAAGCCUGAUCCAGCCAUGCCGCGUGAGUGAUGAAGGCCCUAGGGUU